Molecule: long non-coding RNA, 201 nt
Organism: Hibiscus syriacus
Lineage: Eukaryota; Viridiplantae; Streptophyta; Magnoliopsida; Malvales; Malvaceae
Exons: 2
Source: RefSeq, a predicted model, not a curated record
AUUUUAUGCUGAAACUGAAGUUAUGUGAGAGCCUUAUGGUGUUUAGGAGCUCUCAUUUAUAAGAGAUUUUCUGGCAUAUAGAGGACAAGGGUCGGCCAUUGCCAAAAUUUGGUGAAUGGGAUGUCAAUGAUCCUGCAUCAGCCGAGAGAUUUACCGUGAUCUUUAACAAGGCAAGGGACGAGAAGAAAACCGAAGAAAAAG